Molecule: long non-coding RNA, 775 nt
Organism: Arabidopsis lyrata subsp. lyrata
Lineage: Eukaryota; Viridiplantae; Streptophyta; Magnoliopsida; Brassicales; Brassicaceae
Exons: 2
Source: RefSeq, a predicted model, not a curated record
GCAAGUCCAACGGUGGCCCUAAAGAGACUCUUAAACUAUGAAUCCUUAAGAAAAAAGCAAAAAUUAAAUUUAAAAUGUGAAUUAAGCUAAGGAACGUACCUAAUCUUAGAGUUUUUUUUUGUCUGCAAGAGUUCCAUACGUGUCAGUUUCUCAUGAUUUGUGGACUGAGAAAACAAAUUAAUUUUUUCUUUCCCGUUUCAUUUCACGAUCUCUCUCUCUUCUCUUGUGUUCUCCGAAGGCGACAGAGAAAGAACAAGGUCUCGAUCAUCAUCAUCCGACGGUGGAUCAUCAAAUCGGAAGAGAAAAUCCGAAGAAACUUGAUUGUGUAGAUCGUGAUGAAUUUGUUUUUUUUAGAUGUUAUCGAAAUUAGGGUUUGUCGAAUUGGGAAUUGAUGAAAGAUAAAUUAGGGUUCUUUGAUGUAAACGCAAUUAGGUUGCUUUGAAUACAUAAUCAGUCUCUUUCUUCGUUAUUAGACAUGAUUAAAGACGAUUUUUUGCCUUUAGAUUGUUUGUUUCCAUUCGGAUUUGAUAUCAAGUUGAAUCUCUGUUUUGUAUGUCUCUCUGUUUCUCUGAAGAAGAGCUAGACAUAGAUGACAUUGACAUCGACGAUCAUCAUCAUAGUCAACAACAAGAGAAGCCUAAAGAACAAGGGAUAUUGUCACGGCUUAGUAAGCAGAAGAUGGUGAAUAGGUUUAGCAAUUUCAAAGGUAAGCUGAAAAAGAUGGCAACUAAGAAUGAGAAGAGUGUUGUAACCAAUGAGAAAAGCAUGAGGAGAA